RNAcentral lists this long non-coding RNA (241 nucleotides) under Elaeis guineensis (African oil palm). RNAcentral's name for it is "long non-coding RNA (EGUI_LNC076695)". The record is from RNAcentral. Lineage: Eukaryota; Viridiplantae; Streptophyta; Magnoliopsida; Arecales; Arecaceae.
CUUCCUACAAUAAACAUGAUGGGUGCAUAUAGAAUUUAAGAUCCACUACGGAAAAAAAGUAGAGACCUUAUCAGAUAUCACUAAGACAUCAUCUUCUGACUCGCUAUUAGUUGUCGCUGUAGUAGUCCUUGUCUGAUCUUUGAGUUGAGGGCAAUUUCUGAUACGAUGACCCAACUCAUCACACCGGUAGCACUUGAACUUGCUGGGAUCCUUUAUCUUGGAUCUGGAUCAUUCUCCUUGC